GUGUAACUCCUAGUUGAGUGUGAAGACCUGAGGUAUCAGGGGUAGGGGUUGCUCUGCUUGUGUAAGUCCCAUAGUGUGAAGGCCAGAGAACCAAGAGAUGGUCAAGAAGAGAGAGUAAGUGUCCAAUGUCCCAGCUCAAGAAGAGAGACAAGACCAACCCCGCCUCUUCCUUCUCCUUCUCGACCUACUCAAAGUAAAGAUGAGGAUGAAGACCCUUAAGAUGAUCCACUCCCACUUAAUGAAUAAAACUUUUGUGGAUAGCUAAGUUACUGCUAGCCAUCUGAUUAUAGCAAUGGCUUCCAGGAGCAUCACGACCUGUGCAGACUCCCCAGCAUCAUAACAGGAAGGUCCCACGAUCACGAGCACAUUGCCUUCAGCAUCCAGCACUGAAUAUGGUGAAUUGCACUCUGAAGAGCUUCCUAAGCUUGUAAGAAAGUGAUUCUGAAAAGCUCAACAUUUUGGUAGAAUGGAGAGAUUUGACAUUGCUUCUGCUCCAAAAGCAAAAGACUUGGGCCUGGCGUAAAGGAGAUGGGACUCACACCCAAGAGGAUGCAUUUCCAUACACCCAUUUCUGAAAUAUGAAGAGGUGUCCAGUCUGUUUGAUUCAUAGCUGCCUGUUCCACAACUGCAGAUACAGUAAUUGAUAACCGAGACCAAGUUCUCAUCCCCAUCUCCCAGGGCUGGAACUGGGGCUGUGUUUGGUUCUCAUAAGAUCAGUUCCAGUUUUAGAAACUGAGUAAAUUGUGGAGUAAAUAUUGCCAAGUGAUGGCUUUCUGCUGUAGGCGUGGGUCGCUGUUGGCCAUUUGCCUCAGCAUAUCACCAGCAAUGCACCUCAUUGCAUCACUGCAUUUCCAAUUACACCUCAAAGCACCACUGGUCCCCUGUCCACCCUCUGCCCUGCAGAGGUGGGUGUUCAGGGAGACAGAUCCAAAAUCUGGGCUCAGAAGAUGGAAAUGCCAACUGCUCUCAAUUUGAGAGUGGGGAUGAGACUUUUUGACUCAACUCUGGUUAAUUCAGCCAUGCUGUCAGAGCUGCUUUGAUGCAAGGACAUCUGAAUGCUAUCUGAAUGCUGCCCCUAAAAUAACAAAUUAAAAACAACAACAACAACAAAAA
RNAcentral lists this long non-coding RNA (1113 nucleotides) under Homo sapiens (human). Its description in RNAcentral is "long intergenic non-protein coding RNA 1584". The record is from RNAcentral. Lineage: Eukaryota; Metazoa; Chordata; Mammalia; Primates; Hominidae.